RNAcentral lists this ribosomal RNA (482 nucleotides) under uncultured bacterium. RNAcentral's name for it is "partial 16S ribosomal RNA". It matches the Rfam family "Bacterial small subunit ribosomal RNA", at positions 30 to 507 of the family's 1533-position model. The record is from RNAcentral.
AUUGAACGCUGGCGGCAUGCCUUACACAUGCAAGUCGAACGGUAACAGGUCUUCGGACGCUGACGAGUGGCGAACGGGUGAGUAAUGCAUCGGAACGUGCCCAGUCGUGGGGGAUAACUGCUCGAAAGAGCAGCUAAUACCGCAUACGACCUGAGGGUGAAAGCGGGGGACCGUAAGGCCUCGCGCGAUUGGAGCGGCCGAUGUCAGAUUAGCUAGUUGGUGGGGUAAAGGCCUACCAAGGCAACGAUCUGUAGUUGGUCUGAGAGGACGACCAGCCACACUGGGACUGAGACACGGCCCAGACUCCUACGGGAGGCAGCAGUGGGGAAUUGUGGACAAUGGGCGCAAGCCUGAUCCAGCAAUGCCGCGUGCAGGAAGAAGGCCUUCGGGUUGUAAACUGCUUUUGUCAGGGAAGAAAUCUUCUGGGCUAAUACCCCGGGAGGAUGACGGUACCUGAAGAAUAAGCACCGGCUAACUACGUG